CUCACACACACCACAUACACAGUCACACACACACCCGACACAUGCACACGUCACAUCAGCAUCGAUCACACACCCCACUCACACCACGUACACAGACACACACACACCCCACACAUGCACACGUCACAUCAGCAUCAAUCACACACCCCACUCACACAUACCACAUACACAGUCACACACAUACACCCCCCACACAUGCACACGUCACAUCAUCGAUCACACACACCACGUACACAGUCACACACACACCCCACACAUGCACACGUCACAUCAGCAUCGAUCACACACCCCACUCACACACACCACGUACACAGUCACACACACACCCCACACAUGCACACGUCACAUCAGCAUCGAUCACACACCCCACUCACACACACCACGUACAGAGUCAUACACACACCCCACACAUGCACACGUCACAUCAGCAUCGAUCACACACCCCACUCACACACACCACGUACACAGGCACACACACACACCCCCCACACAUGCACACGUCACAUCAGCGUCGAUCACACACCCCACUCACACACACCACGUACACAGUCAGACACACACACACACCCCACACAUGCACACGUCACAUCAGCAUCGAUCACACACCCCACUCA
This 614-nucleotide long non-coding RNA is filed under the name Pan troglodytes (chimpanzee). RNAcentral's name for it is "long non-coding RNA NONPTRT015681". The record is from RNAcentral. Lineage: Eukaryota; Metazoa; Chordata; Mammalia; Primates; Hominidae.